This is a non-coding RNA of Phalacrocorax carbo (great cormorant), 700 nucleotides long. Lineage: Eukaryota; Metazoa; Chordata; Aves; Suliformes; Phalacrocoracidae. The record is from RefSeq and is a predicted model, not a curated record.
UUAAAAAUGGGGCGAGGAGGUUAAAAAUGGGGCGAGGAGGUUAAAAAUGGGGAGAAGAGGGUAAAAAGCGGGGCGAUGACGUCAAAAAAUGGGGUGACGAUGUCAAAAAUUGGGGGGGGGAGGGGGGUACCCGUAAACUCUGUUUUUGGGUUGAAUUCAGGGGGAUUUUGAUGCAGCCACUCGACGGCCGACGGGGACCCCGACGGCGACGGCCCCCGCUUGCAACGGGAGCGCGGCCGAGCUGGCGGCCGCCCUUCGCCGCGGCCUGUGCGAGGAGGAGGAGGAGGGGGGCGCGGGGAGGCCGAAGGCUCCCUGCGAGCUCUGCCCCCCCGGUUGGACCCCCCGAGCCGCCGCCUGCUACCGCCUUUCGGCGGCCGCCCGUACGUGGGACGCCGCCGCCCGCGACUGCGCCGCCCGCGCCGCCCGGCUGCUCGGCCCCCGCGACCUCCCGGCGGCGGCCUCGCUGGAGGGGGUGCUGGGGGAGCCGAACCCCCUGUGGGUCGGGCUGCGCUUUCGCCCCCGCGCCCGCGCCUGGCUCUGGCCCGACGGCUCCCAGCAGCCCCCGCCGCCCGGGCAGCGCGGGGGCCAGGGCCGGGAUUGCGGGGUGCUCCGACGGGGUCACUCGGCGCUGGAGAGCUGCGGGGCCGAGCUGCGCUGGCUCUGCCGCCGCGACGCCCUCCUGCUCUAACGCCUUUAUUUG